CCGCGUUGCCGCUGCCGCUUUGCGCGGGGGAGGAAAGUCCGGGCAACACAGAGCACCAUACUUCCUAACGGGAAGGCAUCGAAGGAUGACAGACAGUGCCACAGAAAAAAUACCGCCCGCAAGGGUAAGGGUGAAAACGCGAGGUAAGAGCUCACGUCGCCGUCAGUGAUGCCGGCGGAGGUAAACCUUAUGGGUUGAAAGACCAAAUAAACCGAGGCUUGAGGGCUGCUCGUCCGACUCGGAGGGUAGGUUGAUGGAGACCUGCGGUGACGCAGGCCCUAGAUAAAUGGCAACAUAGUACAGAACCCGGCUUAUAGGUU
This 320-nucleotide RNase P RNA is filed under the name bovine gut metagenome. Its description in RNAcentral is "Bacterial RNase P class A". It matches the Rfam family "Bacterial RNase P class A". Rfam says of the family: Ribonuclease P (RNase P) is a ubiquitous endoribonuclease, found in archaea, bacteria and eukarya as well as chloroplasts and mitochondria. Its best characterised activity is the generation of mature 5'-ends of tRNAs by cleaving the 5'-leader elements of precursor-tRNAs. The record is from RNAcentral.